GGUAAUAAUAGUGGGUUAUCAGAACUUAUUAACAUUUAGUGUCACUAAAGUUGGUAUACAACCCCUCACUGCUAAACCUGGCUUUAA
RNAcentral lists this small RNA (87 nucleotides) under Carlito syrichta (Philippine tarsier). RNAcentral's name for it is "Y RNA (ENSTSYG00000024367.2)". The record is from RNAcentral. Lineage: Eukaryota; Metazoa; Chordata; Mammalia; Primates; Tarsiidae.